This 2921-nucleotide ribosomal RNA is filed under the name Staphylococcus aureus. Its description in RNAcentral is "bacterial LSU rRNA". It matches the Rfam family "Bacterial large subunit ribosomal RNA". The record is from RNAcentral. Lineage: Bacteria; Bacillati; Bacillota; Bacilli; Caryophanales; Staphylococcaceae.
UUAAGUUAUUAAGGGCGCACGGUGGAUGCCUUGGCACUAGAAGCCGAUGAAGGACGUUACUAACGACGAUAUGCUUUGGGGAGCUGUAAGUAAGCUUUGAUCCAGAGAUUUCCGAAUGGGGAAACCCAGCAUGAGUUAUGUCAUGUUAUCGAUAUGUGAAUACAUAGCAUAUCAGAAGGCACACCCGGAGAACUGAAACAUCUUAGUACCCGGAGGAAGAGAAAGAAAAUUCGAUUCCCUUAGUAGCGGCGAGCGAAACGGGAAGAGCCCAAACCAACAAGCUUGCUUGUUGGGGUUGUAGGACACUCUAUACGGAGUUACAAAGGACGACAUUAGACGAAUCAUCUGGAAAGAUGAAUCAAAGAAGGUAAUAAUCCUGUAGUCGAAAAUGUUGUCUCUCUUGAGUGGAUCCUGAGUACGACGGAGCACGUGAAAUUCCGUCGGAAUCUGGGAGGACCAUCUCCUAAGGCUAAAUACUCUCUAGUGACCGAUAGUGAACCAGUACCGUGAGGGAAAGGUGAAAAGCACCCCGGAAGGGGAGUGAAAUAGAACCUGAAACCGUGUGCUUACAAGUAGUCAGAGCCCGUUAAUGGGUGAUGGCGUGCCUUUUGUAGAAUGAACCGGCGAGUUACGAUUUAAUGCAAGGUUAAGCAGUAAAUGUGGAGCCGUAGCGAAAGCGAGUCUGAAUAGGGCGUUUAGUAUUUGGUCGUAGACCCGAAACCAGGUGAUCUACCCUUGGUCAGGUUGAAGUUCAGGUAACACUGAAUGGAGGACCGAACCGACUUACGUUGAAAAAUGAGCGGAUGAACUGAGGGUAGCGGAGAAAUUCCAAUCGAACCUGGAGAUAGCUGGUUCUCUCCGAAAUAGCUUUAGGGCUAGCCUCAAGUGAUGAUUAUUGGAGGUAGAGCACUGUUUGGACGAGGGGCCCCUCUCGGGUUACCGAAUUCAGACAAACUACGAAUGCCAAUUAAUUUAACUUGGGAGUCAGAACAUGGGUGAUAAGGUCCGUGUUCGAAAGGGAAACAGCCCAGACCACCAGCUAAGGUCCCAAAAUAUAUGUUAAGUGGAAAAGGAUGUGGCGUUGCCCAGACAACUAGGAUGUUGGCUUAGAAGCAGCCAUCAUUUAAAGAGUGCGUAAUAGCUCACUAGUCGAGUGACACUGCGCCGAAAAUGUACCGGGGCUAAACAUAUUACCGAAGCUGUGGAUUGUCCUUUGGACAAUGGUAGGAGAGCGUUCUAAGGGCGUUGAAGCAUGAUCGUAAGGACAUGUGGAGCGCUUAGAAGUGAGAAUGCCGGUGUGAGUAGCGAAAGACGGGUGAGAAUCCCGUCCACCGAUUGACUAAGGUUUCCAGAGGAAGGCUCGUCCGCUCUGGGUUAGUCGGGUCCUAAGCUGAGGCCGACAGGCGUAGGCGAUGGAUAACAGGUUGAUAUUCCUGUACCACCUAUAAUCGUUUUAAUCGAUGGGGGGACGCAGUAGGAUAGGCGAAGCGUGCGAUUGGAUUGCACGUCUAAGCAGUAAGGCUGAGUAUUAGGCAAAUCCGGUACUCGUUAAGGCUGAGCUGUGAUGGGGAGAAGACAUUGUGUCUUCGAGUCGUUGAUUUCACACUGCCGAGAAAAGCCUCUAGAUAGAAAAUAGGUGCCCGUACCGCAAACCGACACAGGUAGUCAAGAUGAGAAUUCUAAGGUGAGCGAGCGAACUCUCGUUAAGGAACUCGGCAAAAUGACCCCGUAACUUCGGGAGAAGGGGUGCUCUUUAGGGUUAACGCCCAGAAGAGCCGCAGUGAAUAGGCCCAAGCGACUGUUUAUCAAAAACACAGGUCUCUGCUAAACCGUAAGGUGAUGUAUAGGGGCUGACGCCUGCCCGGUGCUGGAAGGUUAAGAGGAGUGGUUAGCUUCUGCGAAGCUACGAAUCGAAGCCCCAGUAAACGGCGGCCGUAACUAUAACGGUCCUAAGGUAGCGAAAUUCCUUGUCGGGUAAGUUCCGACCCGCACGAAAGGCGUAACGAUUUGGGCACUGUCUCAUCGAGAGACUCGGUGAAAUCAUAGUACCUGUGAAGAUGCAGGUUACCCGCGACAGGACGGAAAGACCCCGUGGAGCUUUACUGUAGCCUGAUAUUGAAAUUCGGCACAGCUUGUACAGGAUAGGUAGGAGCCUUUGAAACGUGAGCGCUAGCUUACGUGGAGGCGCUGGUGGGAUACUACCCUAGCUGUGUUGGCUUUCUAACCCGCACCACUUAUCGUGGUGGGAGACAGUGUCAGGCGGGCAGUUUGACUGGGGCGGUCGCCUCCUAAAAGGUAACGGAGGCGCUCAAAGGUUCCCUCAGAAUGGUUGGAAAUCAUUCAUAGAGUGUAAAGGCAUAAGGGAGCUUGACUGCGAGACCUACAAGUCGAGCAGGGUCGAAAGACGGACUUAGUGAUCCGGUGGUUCCGCAUGGAAGGGCCAUCGCUCAACGGAUAAAAGCUACCCCGGGGAUAACAGGCUUAUCUCCCCCAAGAGUUCACAUCGACGGGGAGGUUUGGCACCUCGAUGUCGGCUCAUCGCAUCCUGGGGCUGUAGUCGGUCCCAAGGGUUGGGCUGUUCGCCCAUUAAAGCGGUACGCGAGCUGGGUUCAGAACGUCGUGAGACAGUUCGGUCCCUAUCCGUCGUGGGCGUAGGAAAUUUGAGAGGAGCUGUCCUUAGUACGAGAGGACCGGGAUGGACAUACCUCUGGUGUACCAGUUGUCGUGCCAACGGCAUAGCUGGGUAGCUAUGUGUGGACGGGAUAAGUGCUGAAAGCAUCUAAGCAUGAAGCCCCCCUCAAGAUGAGAUUUCCCAACUUCGGUUAUAAGAUCCCUCAAAGAUGAUGAGGUUAAUAGGUUCGAGGUGGAAGCAUGGUGACAUGUGGAGCUGACGAAUACUAAUCGAUCGAAGACUUAAUCAA